CCUACGGGUGGCAGCAGUGAGGAAUAUUGGUCAAUGGGCGCGAGCCUGAACCAGCCAAGUAGCGUGAAGGAUGACUGCCCUACGGGUUGUAAACUUCUUUUAUAAAGGAAUAAAGUGAGGCACGUGUGCCUUUUUGUAUGUACUUUAUGAAUAAGGAUCGGCUUACUCCGUGCCAGCAGCCGCGGUAAUAAGGAGGAUCCGAGCGUUAUCCGGAUUUAUUGGGUUUAAAGGGAGCGUAGAUGGGUUGUUAAGUCAGUUGUGAAAGUUUGCGGCUCAACCGUAAAAUUGCAAUUGAUACUGGCAGCCUUGAGUAGAGUUGAGGUAGGCGGAAUGCGUGGUGUAGCGGUGAAAUGCUUAGAUAUCACGAAGAACUCCGAUUGCGAAGGCAGCUUACUAAACUGCCACUGACGUUGAUGCACGAAAGUGUGGGUAUCAAACAGGAUUAGAUACCCCUGUAGUC
This 460-nucleotide ribosomal RNA is filed under the name uncultured bacterium. RNAcentral's name for it is "partial 16S ribosomal RNA". It matches the Rfam family "Bacterial small subunit ribosomal RNA", at positions 338 to 795 of the family's 1533-position model. The record is from RNAcentral.